ACCAAACAGGCCAGCUUGCACAGGCCCGGCAUGCUGAGCAGGUAUUUGCGAUCGUAGUCCUGGGUUCCCGUCAACGACAUCGCGGCCAAUACAAGAUAUAUACGUUUUGGAUGCAGUUAAUCCAGAUUGUCCAGCCGAAUAGAUGCCUCAGAAACGAGCGAUUAAAGCCAAUGUAGCAAAUGUAGCGAAGCGCCGCUGACUAAUUCAUAUUGCGCUCGCCAGCACGCACAGAAUGCCACUGAAGUAAUACAAACAACACAAAUACUCAGAAUUCUCCCAUCGUUACACUCGGCGAAUAAAACUACAAUUGCGAGAGCGAGAGAAGCAGCGGGCGAAAGAGAGAGAGAGAGAGAGAGAGAGAGAGAGAGACAGAGAGCGAGCAACACAUGGCACAGUGGGACGAAACGAUCAGGAAAUGUAGUACAUAUUGUGUACAAAUUGUGUUAUCUACUCAAAUGGUAUCUAAUGAAACUAUAAAUAUUAAGGAGAUUAGCUUUAGCUGGGUAUU
Molecule: non-coding RNA, 508 nt
Organism: Drosophila melanogaster (fruit fly)
Lineage: Eukaryota; Metazoa; Arthropoda; Insecta; Diptera; Drosophilidae
Source: Ensembl